RNAcentral lists this ribosomal RNA (486 nucleotides) under uncultured bacterium. Its description in RNAcentral is "partial 16S ribosomal RNA". It matches the Rfam family "Bacterial small subunit ribosomal RNA", at positions 30 to 507 of the family's 1533-position model. The record is from RNAcentral.
AUUGAACGCUGGCGGCAUGCCUUACACAUGCAAGUCGAACGGCAGCACGGGUGCUUGCACCUGGUGGCGAGUGGCGAACGGGUGAGUAAUACAUCGGAACAUGUCCUGUAGUGGGGGAUAGCCCGGCGAAAGCCGGAUUAAUACCGCAUACGAUCCACGGAUGAAAGCGGGGGACCUUCGGGCCUCGCGCUAUAGGGUUGGCCGAUGGCGGAUUAGCUAGUUGGUGGGGUAAAGGCCUACCAAGGCGACGAUCAGUAGCUGGUCUGAGAGGACGACCAGCCACACUGGGACUGAGACACGGCCCAGACUCCUACGGGAGGCAGCAGUGGGGAAUUUUGGACAAUGGGCGAAAGCCUGAUCCAGCAAUGCCGCGUGUGUGAAGAAGGCCUUCGGGUUGUAAAGCACUUUUGUCCGGAAAGAAAUCCUUGACUCUAAUACAGUCGGGGGAUGACGGUACCGGAAGAAUAAGCACCGGCUAACUACGUG